This 300-nucleotide ribosomal RNA is filed under the name uncultured bacterium. Its description in RNAcentral is "bacterial SSU rRNA". It matches the Rfam family "Bacterial small subunit ribosomal RNA", at positions 794 to 1085 of the family's 1533-position model. The record is from RNAcentral.
UCCUGGCCCUAAACGAUGUUCAUUGGGUGUUAAAGGUAUCGACCCCUUUAGUGCCGUAGCUAACGCGUUAAAUGAACCGCCUGGGGAUUACGACCGCAAGGUUAAAACUCAAAAGAAUUGACGGGGGCCCGCACAAGCGGUGGAGCAUGUGGUUUAAUUCGAUGCUACGCGAACAACCUUACCUGGGCUUGACAUGCUGGUAGUAGUGAACCGAAAGGGGAACGAUCCGUAGCAAUACGGAGGCCAGCACAGGUGCUGCAUGGCUGUCGUCAGUUCGUGUCGUGAGAUGUUGGGUUAAGU